RNAcentral lists this ribosomal RNA (497 nucleotides) under uncultured bacterium. RNAcentral describes it as "partial 16S ribosomal RNA". It matches the Rfam family "Bacterial small subunit ribosomal RNA", at positions 28 to 507 of the family's 1533-position model. The record is from RNAcentral.
GAUGAACGCUGGCGGCGUGCCUAAUACAUGCAAGUCGAGCGAACAGACGAGGAGCUUGCUCCUCUGACGUUAGCGGCGGACGGGUGAGUAACACGUGGAUAACCUACCUAUAAGACUGGGAUAACUUCGGGAAACCGGAGCUAAUACCGGAUAAUAUAUUGAACCGCAUGGUUCAAUAGUGAAAGGCGGUUUUGCUGUCACUUAUAGAUGGAUCCGCGCCGCAUUAGCUAGUUGGUAAGGUAACGGCUUACCAAGGCAACGAUGCGUAGCCGACCUGAGAGGGUGAUCGGCCACACUGGAACUGAGACACGGUCCAGACUCCUACGGGAGGCAGCAGUAGGGAAUCUUCCGCAAAGGGCGAAAGCCUGACGGAGCAACGCCGCGUGAGUGAUGAAGGUCUUCGGAUCGUAAAACUCUGUUAUUAGGGAAGAACAAAUGUGUAAGUAACUAUGCACGUCUUGACGGUACCUAAUCAGAAAGCCACGGCUAACUACGUG